RNAcentral lists this ribosomal RNA (621 nucleotides) under uncultured Actinomycetes bacterium. RNAcentral's name for it is "bacterial SSU rRNA". It matches the Rfam family "Bacterial small subunit ribosomal RNA", at positions 556 to 1177 of the family's 1533-position model. The record is from RNAcentral. Lineage: Bacteria; Bacillati; Actinomycetota; Actinomycetes.
GGGCGUAAAGAGCUCGUAGGCGGUUUGUCGCGUCUGCUGUGAAAUCCCGAGGCUCAACCUCGGGCCUGCAGUGGGUACGGGCAAACUAGAGUGUGGUAGGGGAGAUUGGAACUCCUGGUGUAGCGGUGGAAUGCGCAGAUAUCAGGAAGAACACCGAUGGCGAAGGCAGAUCUCUGGGCCAUUACUGACGCUGAGGAGCGAAAGCGUGGGGAGCGAACAGGAUUAGAUACCCUGGUAGUCCACGCCGUAAACGUUGGGAACUAGAUGUAGGGUCCAUUCCACGGAUUCUGUGUCGCGGCUAACGCAUUAAGUUCCCCGCCUGGGGAGUACGGCCGCAAGGCUAAAACUCAAAGGAAUUGACGGGGGCCCGCACAAGCGGCGGAGCAUGCGGAUUAAUUCGAUGCAACGCGAAGAACCUUACCAAGGCUUGACAUAUACCGGAAAAGCGUAGAAAUACGCUCCCCGCAAGGUCGGUAUACAGGUGGUGCAUGGUUGUCGUCAGCUCGUGUCGUGAGAUGUUGGGUUAAGUCCCGCAACGAGCGCAACCCUCGUCCUAUGUUGCCAGCACGUAAUGGUGGGAACUCAUGGGAGACUGCCGGGGUCAACUCGGAGGAAGGUAAU